GACAGAGGGGGCAAGCGUUGCUCGGAAUUACUGGGCGUAAAGGGCGCGUAGGCGGGAUGGCAAGUCGGUCGUGAAAUCCUUCGGCUCAACCGAAGAACGUCGAUCGAUACUGCUGUUCUUGAGGGUUGCAGAGGAGACUGGAAUUCCCGGUGUAGCGGUGAAAUGUGUAGAGAUCGGGAGGAACACCGGUGGCGAAGGCGGCAUCCUGGACCAACACUGACACUGAGGGGCGAAAGCCAGGGGAGCAAACGGG
Molecule: ribosomal RNA, 253 nt
Filed under: uncultured bacterium
Lineage: Bacteria
Description: partial 16S ribosomal RNA
Rfam family: Bacterial small subunit ribosomal RNA
Source: RNAcentral